Molecule: non-coding RNA, 579 nt
Organism: Misgurnus anguillicaudatus (oriental weatherfish)
Lineage: Eukaryota; Metazoa; Chordata; Actinopteri; Cypriniformes; Cobitidae
Source: the annotation of a RefSeq genome assembly
CAGUCAACAUGACAAGCAGCAAACAAUCUGUCUCUUACAGCUGAGCACUUACAAUUUCAGAUUUAAUCAAAGAUGACUUAUAGACUGCUUAUUUUAUUCAUUUUUAUCUUUAAUUCGUAUGGAUCUUUUGGCAAAGACGCUGUCAAUCAACCAAAGGAGGACAGAACUGCCAUUGAAGGAGAGCAGAUUACUCUGAACUGUGAAUAUGAAACAGCUCAACCUGAUCCAUAUCUUUACUGGUACAUUCAACGCUCAAACAACCUCCCUGAAUAUAUACUGAUGAGAAACAAAUAUAGAUCGAGCAACAGUUCUGAUUUUAAAGACAGAUUUGAUGCCAGAUUGGACACAAAAUCAGUUCGUCUGAUAAUUCAGGAUCUUCAUGUGUCUGACUCUGCUGUGUAUUACUGUGCUCUGCAGCCCACUGUGACUAAAACACAUUCAACACUCAUACAAUAACACUGUGAUCAAACAAUCAAAUUCAUCUUCAUCACAACACGACUGCAGUGUUAGCUGACAUCUCAUUGGCACUAUUGUUGGAUUGUUGUGGCAGCCUAUAAACAGAUUAGAAUUGAUUAUUGU